RNAcentral lists this ribosomal RNA (406 nucleotides) under uncultured bacterium. RNAcentral describes it as "partial 16S ribosomal RNA". It matches the Rfam family "Bacterial small subunit ribosomal RNA", at positions 30 to 526 of the family's 1533-position model. The record is from RNAcentral.
AUUGAACGCUGGCGGCAGGCUUAACACAUGCAAGUCGAACGAGUGGCGGACGGGUGUGGAUGGCCGGGGAAACUGCCUGAUGGAGGGGGUUAAUUACUGGAAACGGUAGCUAAUACCGCAUACCAUCGGAUGUGCCCAGAUGGGAUUAGCUAGUAGGUGGGGUAAAGGCUGACCUAGCCGACCUUCCCUAGCUGGUCUGAGAGGAUGACCAGCCCCACUGUAACUGAGCCACGGUCCGGACUCAUACGGGAGGGAGCGGUGGGGAAUAUUGCACAAGGGGCGCAAGCCUGAUGCAGCCAUGCCGCGUGUAUGAAGAGGGCCUUCGGGUUGUAAAGUACUUUCAGCGGGGAGGCGUUACUCGACGAAGAAGCACCGGCUAACUCCGUGCCAGCAGCCGCGGUAAUAC